UUUCCGUAGGUGAACCUGCGGAAGGAUCAUUAAAAAAUUGGACUCCAUGGUGAGUUCAUUAAUAAUCCCUACCCUUUGUGAAUUUGUUUGUUUGAAUAAUUUUUUUCCAAAAAAAAUUAUUGAAUGUCUUUCCUUGUUUUGGUGGAGCUUGUAAAGUGAAACCAGGCAGGGGAAUGGCAAACAAUAAUUAUUUUUGAAAAAGACCUUUUUUUAAAAUUAAACUUUUGUAUUCAUUUGUCUAAAAUUAAUUUUUAUAAUAUAAAACAACUUUUGACAAUGGAUCUCUUGGUUCUCGCAACGAUGAAGAACGCAGCAAAAUGCGAUAAGUAGUGUGAAUUGCAGAAUACGUGAAUCAUCGAAUCUUCGAACGCAUAUUGCACUUUUUUAGUUUACUAAAAAAGUAUGUCUGUUUGAGUAUCAGUAAAAUAUUCUCAUAAAAAACAUUGUUUUUUUUAUGGUUAUGAGUGUUUUACAACGAUAACAAGUUGUUUCACUUUAAAUUCUUUGUUAUCAAAAAAAUCAUUAAAAGCUAAUUUUAAAGAUUUUUUAAAAUUGGAUAAAAUUUUCCCGUAAAAAGGAAUAACCUAAACAAUUUUAAAAAUUAAAAUUGGUUUGAUUUUUUUGAAACCCAAAGGAAAAAAAAACGAAAUUAACUUGAUCUCAAAUCAGAUAAGAGUACCGCUGAACUUAAGCAUAUCAAUAAGCGGAGGAAAAGAACUAACUAGGAUUCCCUCAGUAACGGCGAGUGAAGCGGGAAGAGCUCAAAUUUGAAAUCUUCAAGGUUUUACCUUGACGAAUUGUAGUUUAAAGAAGUGUUUUCUGUUGGAGUUUUGGUAAAGUUCUUUGGAAAAGGACAUCAUAGAGGGUGAGAAUCCCGUAUUUGACCAUUAUCUCCAGCUUUGUGAUACACUUUCAAAGAGUCGGAUUGUUUGGGAAUGCAGUCCAAAAUGGGUGGUAAAUUUCAUCUAAAGCUAAAUACUGGCGAGAGACCGAUAGCGAACAAGUACCGUGAGGGAAAGAUGAAAAGAACUUUGAAAAGAGAGUUAAACAGUACGUGAAAUUGUCAAAAGGGAAGCGUUUGACACCAGUGUUGUUUUCUCGAAAAUCAAUUAAAAAAGGCCGGAUUUUGUGUUGUAUUGACUUUAUCAGCUUUCUGCACUCUUUUCUUGUCUUUUUUAAUGCACUUUUCGUUUAACAAGUCAACAUCAAUUUCUUUUGUUGUAAAAGGGUCAUUGGAAGGUGGCUUUCUUUUCGGAGAAAGUGUUUAUAGCCUUUGGCCUCUGCAAUCGGAGAGGUUGAGGUCUGCAGCGUAGAUCCUUCGGGUUAGAUACAUUUGUGCUAAGUUAUAGCCUUUCAUAGACAACUUGUUGACUAUGAUCAGUCAUGUAGCUUACUCGCUUAUGCUAUUUUACCUACGCUUAGGAUGUUGAG
Molecule: unclassified non-coding RNA, 1431 nt
Filed under: uncultured Neocallimastigales
Lineage: Eukaryota; Fungi; Neocallimastigomycota; Neocallimastigomycetes; Neocallimastigales
Description: partial contains small subunit ribosomal RNA, internal transcribed spacer 1, 5.8S ribosomal RNA, internal transcribed spacer 2, and large subunit ribosomal RNA
Rfam family: Eukaryotic large subunit ribosomal RNA (bases 656-1431)
Source: RNAcentral